UCCCUCGUAGCUCAGUCGGUAAAGAAUCUGCCUAUGAGGCAGAAGAUCCGGGUUCUAUUCCUGGGUUGGGAA
This 72-nucleotide transfer RNA is filed under the name Ovis aries (sheep). It matches the Rfam family "tRNA". From Rfam's summary of the family: Transfer RNA (tRNA) molecules are approximately 80 nucleotides in length. Lineage: Eukaryota; Metazoa; Chordata; Mammalia; Artiodactyla; Bovidae. The record is from Rfam by way of RNAcentral.